GACGAACGCUGGCGGCGUGCUUAACACAUGCAAGUCGAACGGAAAGGCCCUGCUUUUGUGGGGUGCUCGAGUGGCGAACGGGUGAGUAACACGUGAGUAACCUGCCCUUGCCUUUGGGAUAACUUCCGGAAACUGGGGCUAAUACCGGAUAGGAGCUCCUGCUGCAUGGUGGGGGUUGGAACGUUUCGGCGGUUGGGGAUGGACUCGCGGCUUAUCAGCCUGUUGGUGGGGUAGUGUCUUACCAUGGCUUUGACGAGUAGCCGGCCUGAGAGGGUGACCGGCCACACUGGAACUGAGAUACGGCACAGACUCCUCCGGGAGGCAGCAGGGGGGAAUAUUGCACAAUGGGCGGAAGCCUGAUGCAGCAACGCCGCGUGCGGGAUGACGGCCUUCGGGUUGUAAACCGCUUUCGCCUGUGACGAAGCGGGAGUGACGGUAAUGGGUAAAGAAGCACCGGCUAACUACGUG
This 468-nucleotide ribosomal RNA is filed under the name uncultured bacterium. RNAcentral describes it as "partial 16S ribosomal RNA". It matches the Rfam family "Bacterial small subunit ribosomal RNA", at positions 28 to 507 of the family's 1533-position model. The record is from RNAcentral.